AUGGCCAAGUACUGGUGGAGUAGCUCUCUUGAUCGGCGUUCAAUGCAUUGGAUGUCGUGGGAGUCUCUCGCACAGCCAAAGAUUAAAGGAGGGAUGGGCUUCCAAGAUUUACAGAUGUUCAACGUAGCACUCCUUGGUAAACAUGGAUGGAGGCUAAUGACAGAGCCCAACUCCUUGUGUGCUCGAGUAUUGAAAGGAAGAUAUUUCCCCAACUGUGAUUUCAUGCAUGCCGGCGUCCCCAAAAGCGCGUUGGCGACAUGGCGGGCAAUCAUAGCAGGGCAAAAAGCUUUGAAUGUUGGGCUAAUCAAACAUAUCGGAAGUGGCACAACAGUGUCUAUAUGGGAGGAUAAAUGGAUCCCA
This 360-nucleotide ribosomal RNA is filed under the name Triticum aestivum (bread wheat). RNAcentral's name for it is "partial small subunit ribosomal RNA". Lineage: Eukaryota; Viridiplantae; Streptophyta; Magnoliopsida; Poales; Poaceae. The record is from RNAcentral.